Molecule: ribosomal RNA, 798 nt
Filed under: Triticum aestivum (bread wheat)
Lineage: Eukaryota; Viridiplantae; Streptophyta; Magnoliopsida; Poales; Poaceae
Description: partial small subunit ribosomal RNA
Source: RNAcentral
AUGGCGGCCGCGACCAUGGCGCUCUCCUCCCCGGCGAUGGCGGGCACACCUGUGAAGGCCUCCAGGGCGGCGCCCUUCGGGGAGGGCCGCAUCACCAUGCGCAAGACGGCGGGCAAGCCCAAGGUGGCGGCGUCCAGCAGCCCGUGGUACGGCUCCGACCGCGUGCUCUACCUCGGCCCGCUCUCCGGCGACCCGCCGAGCUACCUCACCGGCGAGUUCCCCGGCGACUACGGCUGGGACACCGCGGGCCUGUCGGCCGACCCCGAGACCUUCGCCAAGAACCGGGAGCUGGAGGUGAUCCACUGCCGUUGGGCCAUGCUCGGCGCGCUCGGCUGCGUCUUCCCGGAGCUGCUCGCCCGCAACGGCGUCAAGUUCGGCGAGGCCGUGUGGUUCAAGGCCGGCUCCCAGAUCUUCAGCGAGGGCGGCCUCGACUACCUCGGCAACCCCAGCCUGGUGCAUGCGCAGAGCAUCCUUGCCAUCUGGGCCUGCCAGGUGGUGCUGAUGGGCGCCGUGGAGGGCUACCGCGUGGCCGGCGGCCCGCUGGGCGAGAUCGUGGACCCGCUCUACCCCGGCGGCAGCUUCGACCCCCUGGGCCUCGCCGAGGACCCCGAGGCCUUCGCGGAGCUCAAGGUGAAGGAGAUCAAGAACGGCCGCCUCGCCAUGUUCUCCAUGUUCGGCUUCUUCGUCCAGGCCAUCGUCACCGGCAAGGGCCCCCUCGAGAACCUCGCCGACCACCUUGCCGACCCCGUCAACAACAACGCCUGGGCCUUCGCCACCAACUUCGUCCCCGGCAAGUGA